This 301-nucleotide ribosomal RNA is filed under the name uncultured bacterium. RNAcentral's name for it is "partial 16S ribosomal RNA". It matches the Rfam family "Bacterial small subunit ribosomal RNA", at positions 509 to 809 of the family's 1533-position model. The record is from RNAcentral.
CAGUAGCCGCGGUAAUGCGUAGGUGGCAAGCGUUGUCCGGAAUUAUUGGGCGUAAAGGGCUCGCAGGCGGUUUCUUAAGUCUGAUGUGAAAGCCCCCGGCUCAACCGGGGAGGGUCAUUGGAAACUGGGAAACUUGAGUGCAGAAGAGGGGAGUGGAAUUCCACGUGUAGCGGUGAAAUGCGUAGAGAUGUGGAGGAACACCAGUGGCGAAGGCGACUCUCUGGUCUGUAACUGACGCUGAGGAGCGAAAGCGUGGGGAGCGAACAGGAUUAGAUACCCCAGUAGUCCCUGUCUCUUAUAA